GCGCUGCAGUCGAGAAACCUUCGCAAUGCGGGAAACCGCGACGAGGGACUCCCAGUGCCUACGCUCAGCGUAGGCUGUUCCCGAGCCUAGAAAGCUCGGGGAGUAAGGGCUGGGUAAGACGGGUGCCAGCCGCCGCGGUAAUACCCGCAGCCCGAGUGGUGGCCACUAUUAUUGGGCCUAAAGCGUCCGUAGCCGGCCCGGUAAAUGCCUGGGUAAAUCGUGAGGCCUAACCUCACGAAUUCCGGGUAGACUGCCGGGGCUAGGGACCGGAGGAGGGAGAGGGGUACUCCAGGGGUAGGGGUGAAAUCCUGUAAUCCCUGGAGGACCACCGGUGGCGAAGGCGCUCUCCUAGGACGGGUCCGACGGUGAGGGACGAAAGCCAGGGGAGCGAACCGGAUUAGAUACCCGCGUAGU
RNAcentral lists this ribosomal RNA (414 nucleotides) under uncultured microorganism. RNAcentral describes it as "bacterial SSU rRNA". It matches the Rfam family "Archaeal small subunit ribosomal RNA", at positions 330 to 745 of the family's 1478-position model. The record is from RNAcentral.